Long non-coding RNA from Callorhinus ursinus (northern fur seal), 899 nucleotides. RefSeq lists it as uncharacterized. The record is from RefSeq and is a predicted model, not a curated record. Lineage: Eukaryota; Metazoa; Chordata; Mammalia; Carnivora; Otariidae.
ACAUCCCACCAAUGAAAGGAUUCAAAACUCCAGGAAGAUAGGAUGAAACCAGCAAAUUGUCUCCUCCUGCAUCCAAAUCUCUCAGCUGCUGGUUUGUGGCAAAACAGUGGCAGGAAUUAUUUCCAGAGAAUUCAUCGGAUGCUUCAACCCUCCUGAAGGACUACAGGCAUCCUCUGAAGUCUCUCUCCGGGGAAACUCAUCCUAUCUGGACCCUACUGUGCUGCAGCCUCCCGGCCCCGUGGAGGGGGUGUUAAUGCCUAAAAUCCUUGGCAGGUCCCAGCCAGUGUUGUGCACGUCGCCCACCCGCUACGGGAGGAGUCUGAAGUCUGCAGGCCCCCCAAAGGCAGUCUCUUGUGGGUAUCGCCCCGUACCCACUGGCAGAUGGAUGGAUCAAGAAAAGAGUCCGUGCACACAACGGGAUAGUGUUCAGCCUUAAAAAGGAAGGAGGUUCUGACUUCUGUGACAUCGUGGAUGAGCCCUGAGAACACUGUGCUCAAAAACCCAGACACGGAACAGAUACUGCGUGAUUCCACAUGUGUGAGGAACCGGGAGUAGUGCCGUCACCACCGAGGUUGGGGGCAGGGAAUGGAGCGUGUUCGUGAGGACAGAGUUCCACUUUGGCAGGCUCGAGAGCGGAAGGACGGACGGGGUCACAGGAACACAGCGUGAGGACAGUAAUGCUACGGAACUGCACAUCUGAGCUGUGUAACGUGGCACAUUUCAUGUUAGAUAGACUUUAUCACAACUGAAGUUAAAAAAAACCUCACAAAUCGUUCUAAGAAAAAUUACGCAGAUCAUAGGAAAGGAGUCAGUGUCCAAAAGACUUUUAAAAUCCCUUUAGACGGUCAUUCAAGUUCCCCUUUGAGAACUGACCAUUAAAACAGCAUCUGCUCUUUGCA